UUUCCGUAGGUGAACCUGCGGAAGGAUCAUUAAAAAAUUGGACUCCAUUGGUGAGUUCAUUAAUAAUCCUACCCUUUGUGAAUUUGUUUGUUUGAAUAAUUUUUUUCCAAAAAAAAUUAUUGAAUGUCUUUCCCUGUUUUGGUGGAGCUUGUAAAGUGAAACCAGGCAGGGGAAUGGCAAACAAUAAUUAUUUUUGAAAAAGACCUUUUUAAAAUUAAACUUUUUGUAUUCAUUUGUCUAAAAUUAUUUUUAUAAUAUAAAAACAACUUUUGACAAUGGAUCUCUUGGUUCUCGCAACGAUGAAGAACGCAGCAAAAUGCGAUAAGUAGUGUGAAUUGCAGAAUACGUGAAUCAUCGAAUCUUCGAACGCAUAUUGCACUUUUUUAGUUUACUAAAAAAGUAUGUCUGUUUGAGUAUCAGUAAAAUAUUCUCAUAAAAAAUUUAUUUUUUAUGGUUAUGAGUGUUUUACAACGAUAACAAGUUGUUUCACUUUAAUUCUUUGUUAUCAAAAAAAUCAUUAAAAGCUAAUUUUAAGAUUUUUUAAAAUUGGAUAAAAUUUUCCGUAAAAGGAAUAACCUAAACAAUUUUAAAAAAUUAAAAUUGGUUUGAUUUUUCUUGAUUUAAAAGGAAAAAAAAGUAAAAAUUAACUUGAUCUCAAAUCAGAUAAGAGUACCCGCUGAACUUAAGCAUAUCAAUAAGCGGAGGAAAAGAAACUAACUAGGAUUCCCUCAGUAACGGCGAGUGAAGCGGGAAGAGCUCAAAUUUGAAAUCUUCAGGGUUUUACCUUGACGAAUUGUAGUUUAAAGAAGUGUUUUCUGUUGGAGUUUUGGUAAAAGUUCUUUGGAAAAGGACAUCAUAGAGGGUGAGAAUCCCGUAUUUGACCAUUAUCUCCAGCUUUGUGAUACACUUUCAAAGAGUCGGAUUGUUAGGGAAUGCAGUCCAAAAUGGGUGGUAAAUUUCAUCUAAAGCUAAAUACUGGCGAGAGACCGAUAGCGAACAAGUACCGUGAGGGAAAGAUGAAAAGAACCUUGAAAAGAGAGUUAAACAGUACGUGAAAUUGUCAAAAGGGAAGCGUUUGACACCAGUGUUGUUUUCUCGAAAAUCAAUUAAAAAAGGCCGGAUUUUGUGUUGUAUUGACUUUAUCAGCUUUCUGCACUUUUUUCUUGUCUUUUUUAAUGCACUUUUCGUUUAACAAGUCAACAUCAAUUUCUUUUGUUGUAAAAGGGUCAUUGGAAGGUGGCUUUCUUUUCGGAGAAAGUGUUUAUAGCCUUUGGCCUCUGCAAUCGGAGAGAUUGAGGUCUGCAGCGUAGAUCCUUCGGGGUUAGAUACAUUUGUGCUAAGUUAUAGCCUUUCAUAGACAACUUGUUGACUAUGAUCAGUCAUGUAGCUUACUCGCUUAUGCUAUUU
Molecule: unclassified non-coding RNA, 1407 nt
Filed under: uncultured Neocallimastigales
Lineage: Eukaryota; Fungi; Neocallimastigomycota; Neocallimastigomycetes; Neocallimastigales
Description: partial contains small subunit ribosomal RNA, internal transcribed spacer 1, 5.8S ribosomal RNA, internal transcribed spacer 2, and large subunit ribosomal RNA
Rfam family: Eukaryotic large subunit ribosomal RNA (bases 650-1407)
Source: RNAcentral